GAUGAACGCUGGCGGCGUGCCUAAUACAUGCAAGUCGAGCGAACAGACGAGGAGCUUGCUCCUCUGAUGUUAGCGGCGGACGGGUGAGUAACACGUGGAUAACCUACCUAUAAGACUGGGAUAACUUCGGGAAACCGGAGCUAAUACCGGAUAACAUGUUGAACCGCAUGGUUCAACAGUGAAAGACGGUCUUGCUGUCACUUAUAGAUGGAUCCGCGCCGCAUUAGCUAGUUGGUAAGGUAACGGCUUACCAAGGCAACGAUGCGUAGCCGACCUGAGAGGGUGAUCGGCCACACUGGAACUGAGACACGGUCCAGACUCCUACGGGAGGCAGCAGUAGGGAAUCUUACGCAAUGGGCGAAAGCCUGGCGGAGCAACGCCGCGUGAGUGAAGAAGGUCUUCGGAGCGUAAAACUCUGUUAUUAGGGAAGAACAAAUGUGUAAGUAACUAUGCACGUCUUGACGGUACCUAAUCAGAAAGCCACGGCUAACUACGUG
Molecule: ribosomal RNA, 497 nt
Filed under: uncultured bacterium
Lineage: Bacteria
Description: partial 16S ribosomal RNA
Rfam family: Bacterial small subunit ribosomal RNA
Source: RNAcentral